CUACGUGCCAGCAGCCGCGGUAAUACGGAAGGUCCAGGCGUUAUCCGGAUUUAUUGGGUUUAAAGGGAGCGUAGGCCGUGGAUUAAGCGUGUUGUGAAAUGUAGACGCUCAACGUCUGAAUUGCAGCGCGAACUGGUUCACUUGAGUAUGCACAACGUAGGCGGAAUUCGUCGUGUAGCGGUGAAAUGCUUAGAUAUGACGAAGAACUCCGAUUGCGAAGGCAGCUUACGGGAGCACAACUGACGCUGAAGCUCGAAGGUGCGGGUAUCAAACAGGAUUAGAUACCCUGGUAGUCCGCACAGUAAACGAUGGAUGCCCGUUGUUAGUUCACUUAAGAAUUAGCGACCAAGCGAAAGCAUUAAGCAUCCCACCUGGGGAGUACGCCGGCAACGGUGAAACUCAAAGGAAUUGACGGGGGCCCGCACAAGCGGAGGAACAUGUGGUUUAAUUCGAUGAUACGCGAGGAACCUUACCCGGGCUUGAAUUGCAGACGAACGAUUCAGAGA
This 506-nucleotide ribosomal RNA is filed under the name uncultured bacterium. RNAcentral describes it as "bacterial SSU rRNA". It matches the Rfam family "Bacterial small subunit ribosomal RNA", at positions 501 to 1006 of the family's 1533-position model. The record is from RNAcentral.